RNAcentral lists this ribosomal RNA (618 nucleotides) under uncultured bacterium. RNAcentral describes it as "bacterial SSU rRNA". It matches the Rfam family "Bacterial small subunit ribosomal RNA", at positions 338 to 951 of the family's 1533-position model. The record is from RNAcentral.
CCUACGGGAGGCAGCAGUGGGGAAUUUUGGACAAUGGGCGCAAGCCUGAUCCAGCCAUGCCGCGUGUGGGAAGAAGGCCUUCGGGUUGUAAACCACUUUUGUCAGGGAAGAAACGGUCUGAACUAAUACUUUGGACUAAUGACGGUACCUGAAGAAUAAGCACCGGCUAACUACGUGCCAGCAGCCGCGGUAAUACGUAGGGUGCAAGCGUUAAUCGGAAUUACUGGGCGUAAAGCGUGCGCAGGCGGCUUUGCAAGACAGAUGUGAAAUCCCCGGGCUCAACCUGGGAACUGCAUUUGUGACUGCAUGGCUAGAGUACGGUAGAGGGGGAUGGAAUUCCGCGUGUAGCAGUGAAAUGCGUAGAUAUGCGGAGGAACACCGAUGGCGAAGGCAAUCCCCUGGACCUGUACUGACGCUCAUGCACGAAAGCGUGGGGAGCAAACAGGAUUAGAUACCCUGGUAGUCCACGCCCUAAACGAUGUCAACUGGUUGUUGGGAGGGUUUCUUCUCAGUAACGAAGCUAACGCGUGAAGUUGACCGCCUGGGGAGUACGGCCGCAAGGUUGAAACUCAAAUGAAUUGAGGNGNGAGAGUGCGACGACGACGACGAGGGAGGAGG